Molecule: transfer RNA, 83 nt
Filed under: Deltaproteobacteria bacterium
Lineage: Bacteria; Pseudomonadati; Myxococcota; Myxococcia
Also listed under: 1 other name
Description: tRNA-Leu
Rfam family: tRNA
About the family: Transfer RNA (tRNA) molecules are approximately 80 nucleotides in length. Their secondary structure includes four short double-helical elements and three loops (D, anti-codon, and T loops).
Source: RNAcentral
GCGAGCCUGGCGGAAUUGGUAGACGCGCUGGAUUUAGGUUCCAGUGUCCUCGCGGCGUGGGGGUUCGAGUCCCCCGGCUCGCA